UUCUGAUAUUGCAUCCCAAAACUAGGCUUUAUGCUCCAGUUUGUAUUCCUUAAAGACUCAACAUAAUUCUAAUGAGACCCAUAUUGGGAUAUUUCAUAUGCACAUGGGACAAUGCUGGUGUUAUUCACACAAAAAUUCUAGAUUGCAUGCAUUCAAAAGAAGUCUAUUUAAUUGAUUGGUAUUCACCACUAUCUCUCAAAUUGUAUUUUCUCACCAUCUCUUCUACAACUACUACUAUGGCCUUUGCUUUCAGAAGUAACAAGCUGCCAAGCCUUUUAUCCUGGCUACCAAAGACAAUCCUUUCUCCUGCUCUCAUUACCUUUACAGCAUUAUUCUCCACCAUCCUCUGAUGUAUCCUGAACUAAAUAGUUUGCCCAUUUAUUCCUAACUAAUAAAUUGCAGCUUUUUAAAACUCAUUCUCCAUCUAUGUUUUUUCCUCAGACAUCAAUCAGCAAAUUUUCCAAAUGAAUAUCAACUGCAUCAAUUGUAUGUCUAAGAGGGCCUACAAUGUUAAUGAGAUCUAUCUGACUUCCACUAACUAACUAAUAGAAAAGCAAAGUUAAUCUACCUACAGUUUAUGAUUCCUUUCAUAUGUAUCAUUUAAGGUCAAGAUAUCAUAGUAUGAAGAUAAGUUUUCAUAGAGGUAAAUCUGAAACUUCAUUUCUUUUAUGCCUCACCAUUAGGAAAGACAUAUUUGUCAGAAAGACUAUUAAGACCAUGGAUCAUUAUUAAACAUCAGGCCAGUUAGAGAGAAGAGACAGCUUGUUUGUGAACUAGAGAAUGGAGAAUGCCUGUGAGUGAUUAAUGCCAAUCAGUCAGGUAAACUUUUCUGGAUGCAAAGUAUGCUUGCUUCAUUUCUUUUGUAAUGUUUGUAAAUUCUGUGCAUAAAAGGUUCAUUGUCUCACUACCAAGCAGCAUCACACUUCAAACACAAGUACUAUACAAUCCACUCUUCACUCUGAAAGAGAAACCUUUUGCUACCAACAUGGGUAAUAUCUUUCUGAACUUUCUCCAUGCCAUUCUUUUACUAUUACACUUUUGAAGCACUCACUUUCACUGCUAUUUAGGUUACCUAGGUAAAGAAAACUAUCAACUAUUUAUAAUGAGCUUUCUGAGUAUUCAAAGGAAUUUAUUUUUCUUGUAUUCUUACUACUAAUUACUCCUGUGAAUCUUCCACAUACACAAUCUAACUUCAUUAUCACCAGCCUGUGAUCAUACGACACCUCUUGCACAUCAUAUGGAAUUUCUACCUCUUUCUUUGCUACUUAUUGAACACAAUGAUUACUCUGAUAGCAAUUAGAGCCUGAUUUCUUCUUGAUUUACUAAAACUUAGUCAUUGCUAAGUUUAUUUUGAGGUCUCUUAAUUCUAGGUUUUGCUUUUAUGUAUGGAAUUUCUUCUCUAAAUCUUCAGAUUCAGUUAUAAGAAUCAGGUCAUCAACAUAGUGGAGUUCCCACGAAAAACUAAUCUUAAACUCCUCUGUUAUGGCCAAGUCCUCUCAAGAAUAC
Octopus sinensis (East Asian common octopus) is the source of this 1506-nucleotide long non-coding RNA. RefSeq lists it as uncharacterized. Lineage: Eukaryota; Metazoa; Mollusca; Cephalopoda; Octopoda; Octopodidae. The record is from RefSeq and is a predicted model, not a curated record. The transcript has 3 exons.